CAACCUGCCUUUCAUGGGGGAUAACGUCUGGAAACGGACGCUAAUACCGCAUGACACAUGACUGUGGCAUCACAGACAUGUCAAAGGAGCAAUUCGCUGAAAGAUGGGCUCGCGUAUGAUUAGAUAGUUGGUGAGGUAACGGCCCACCAAGUCGACGAUCAUUAGCCGGACUGAGAGGUUGAACGGCCACAUUGGGACUGAGACACGGCCCAG
RNAcentral lists this ribosomal RNA (213 nucleotides) under uncultured Bacillota bacterium. RNAcentral describes it as "uncultured Firmicutes bacterium partial 16S ribosomal RNA". It matches the Rfam family "Bacterial small subunit ribosomal RNA", at positions 122 to 334 of the family's 1533-position model. Lineage: Bacteria; Bacillati; Bacillota. The record is from RNAcentral.